GACGAACGCUGGCGGCGUGCUUAACACAUGCAAGUCGAACGAAAAGACCCUGCUUUUGUGGGGUUCUCGAGUGGCGAAGGGGUGAGUAACACGUGAGUAACCUGCCCUUGACUUUGGGGUAACAUCAGGAGACUGGGGCUAAUACCGCAUAGGAGCUCCUGCUGCAUGGUGGGGGUUGGAAAGUUUCGGCGGUUGGGGAUGGACUCGCGGUUUAUGCGCGUGUUGGUGGGGUUGUGACGUACAAAGGCUUUGACGGGUAGCCGGCCUGGGAGGGUGACCGGGCACAGUGGGCCUGGGAUAGGACCCGGACGCAUACGGGAGGCAGGAGUGGGGACUAGUGCAAAAUGGGCGGAGGCCGGAUGCAGGAACUCCGCGUGGGAGAUGACGGUUUUCGGGUAGGAACCCGCGUUCGCCUGUGACGAAGCGUGAGGGCCGUUACUGGGUAAAGAAGCACCGGCUACUUACGU
RNAcentral lists this ribosomal RNA (467 nucleotides) under uncultured bacterium. RNAcentral describes it as "partial 16S ribosomal RNA". It matches the Rfam family "Bacterial small subunit ribosomal RNA", at positions 28 to 506 of the family's 1533-position model. The record is from RNAcentral.